RNAcentral lists this ribosomal RNA (253 nucleotides) under uncultured bacterium. RNAcentral describes it as "partial 16S ribosomal RNA". It matches the Rfam family "Bacterial small subunit ribosomal RNA", at positions 524 to 776 of the family's 1533-position model. The record is from RNAcentral.
UACGUAGGGGGCAAGCGUUGUCCGGAUUUAUUGGGCGUAAAGAGCGUGUAGGCGGCCUGACAGGUCUGCUGUGAAAACUCGAGGCUCAACCUCGAGAUGUCGGCGGAAACCGUCUGGCUAGAGUCCGGAAGAGGCGAGUGGAAUUCCUGGUGUAGCGGUGAAAUGCGCAGAUAUCAGGAAGAACACCUAUGGCGAAGGCAGCUCGCUGGGACGGUACUGACGCUGAGACGCGAAAGCGUGGGGAGCGAACAGG